Non-coding RNA from Schizosaccharomyces pombe (fission yeast), 842 nucleotides. NCBI's taxonomy places the organism in Eukaryota, Fungi, Ascomycota, Schizosaccharomycetes, Schizosaccharomycetales, Schizosaccharomycetaceae. The record is from the annotation of a GenBank genome assembly.
GUAGACAUUUCUAAUUGAUGAUUAGGAUCAGGAAGCUCCGUAACUGCAGAGGUGUAAUUCGUGACUGAUCCAAUUGAAAUUUGAGGAGAAAGAUUAGACAUUGGGGGCUCCUCAUCACUAGAACUUUCAUCAUCAUCAAUCUCAUUAAACUGAAUUGGUGGAAACUCAUCUUGAAUAUGAGGUGUCGCUUGUUGUACAACUCCAUCUUGCGCAGACCUAUCGCGUCGAGAAGGAGGAACAGGAGGUUUCACAGGAGCAGGUGUACUAAUUGUUUCAGUAGCAAACGGUGCACUAAUAGGUUCAGUGGCUUGUUGUUUAUUAGCAAUUUCAAAUGGUGUAGGUGCACUAGUGUUUUCAAUAGGUUCCGCACUUGUAUUCUCGACUGGCUCAGCUGUGUUUCUGGCAGAUCCUGUUAACUUUGACAAGUCAGAUAAUACCGGGGAUCCACGUUGUGAAGCAGAGGUUGAUACAUCCACAACACUGCUAUCCUGAUGUUGUGGCUCCUCCAUAUUUGACAACUGCACAGGUUCAGAGUCCAAGCUAGGAUUAACACUUGAGUUAUUAACGCUAAGAGAUGUAGUCUUUGAAAUGCUUCUAGGAAACACAGCCGAAGCAAAUUCACUUUCCCAGAAAUUUGAAACCGGUGAACUAGCUCCUGAGAUUUUCAAGUUAUGGAAUGGAUUUCGGGAAACAGUGGAAGCAUGUGCUGAUGAAUUAUUAGAGUUCAGGGAUGGAGAACGGAGAGUAUUAUGCAUUGCAUCAAAAGAAUUAUGUUGAGUGGGCACCGAGGAAGUAGUAUCAGGAAGGGUUGGCUUAUCAGUGGUAAUUCCAUUGCUGGUAAA